Mytilus californianus (California mussel) is the source of this 698-nucleotide long non-coding RNA. RefSeq lists it as uncharacterized. The record is from RefSeq and is a predicted model, not a curated record. The transcript is spliced from 2 exons. Lineage: Eukaryota; Metazoa; Mollusca; Bivalvia; Mytilida; Mytilidae.
GUUUGGAAAUUACCAGUUUUAAUAGUGAUUUAAAUAUGAUUAAUAUAAGCUAUUCACAGUCGAUGUUCGACCUUGACUUUAAUAAUAGGUUGACACAGUUUCACCUCAUCGAACUGACGUGAUAAAUUUAAAUACCACAUGAAGUUUACAAUUGGUUUGAUCGAAAAUUUAUGUGAUAGUGGAUUUGUAAGAUUUUGUAAUCCAUGUGUUAUAGGAACUUGAAAUUUGCACGUAUUAUUCAUGGAUUUACCUAGGAAUACUAGUACUGUGUAAACACGUGUUACUAUAUAUUGCCAGUCGUUGACUAAAAAUAGAAUUGGACUUUCCCUUGCUAUACAUCUUGUGCAUAGCGAAGACUGGUGAGACAUACUAUCACGUUUUAUAAUAAAUGUGUUUUCAGUGGAUAUUUGAAUUAUUUUCACAAGGAAAAGUAGAUGUUGGAAGAAGUGCUUAAUUAUUAACUUCACAUCAAGAAUAGUGUUUUUACCAGAAAAAGCAGAUUCUAUUGUGCUAUUUAUAGCAUACAUGUACCAUAAUAACAAGUGACUGGAAGGAAUAUUUUCCUUUUUCACAACAAACAUAUAUUUGACUUUCAAUUUGUCAUUUCUUUUUAGAUGUAUGCAAUCUAUAAUCACAUCACAUUCAUGUUUUUGUUUUUUUUCAAUAAUUAUAAUAAAAAUAAUAAAACUUAUAUACAU